Molecule: long non-coding RNA, 8249 nt
Organism: Dunckerocampus dactyliophorus (ringed pipefish)
Lineage: Eukaryota; Metazoa; Chordata; Actinopteri; Syngnathiformes; Syngnathidae
Exons: 9
Source: RefSeq, a predicted model, not a curated record
GGGACGGAAGAGGGACGUGGGAGGGUCGGGUGGUGUACGGCUCCAAGCAGAGUGCUGAAUGUGGUGGAUAAUCAUGUUGUUGUUGUGUUUCCAGGUGAAGUUACAGCGGCUGUGUUUGGAUUCCCAAUGUGAGCAUUCCAGCAGGCGGAGCAGAUGGGUCAUGUUUGGCUGAGGGAUGGGGAGGAUUGAACAAUGUGUAGUGGUCACUUCAAAGUCCAACUUUUCAAGGCGAUUGUUCACGUAGCAGUGUAAGCUUACCGUAUUGACUCAAAUGUAAAACCACCCUGAAUGUGCAGUACAAUCACUCCUUUUCAGACUUGUUUCUAGGGAAGAAAUACUGUCUUAUAUUGAAGUCAAUAUGGUAACCCUCCCCAAGUCUUUACUUGGAACAUGUCCAAUUUCCAGAGAACUACAGGAGGAACUAGCCCCUACUUUUAGUGACUAUUCUCUUCAGGAUCACUCUACAUGCUGAUGUUCUACACCAGAUGCUUCACUUCUGAAACCCCGGGGCUACAAAACAGAAAACCAUCUGACUUGCUAGUGUCCCUGUUCAACAACUUACUCUAACAUCGAUUGGAAACCCUCAGGCCACGUUUCCACCAAGUGGUCCAGUUGGGUUGGAAGCAUCUGCUACAUAAAGCAUGACAUCAUAGCAACAUGGCAACACAACACAAGAGGAAGGCCACACAGUAAACAAUGGAAGUCAUAUUUCCAUUCUCUACAAGUGUGGUUUGAACCCAAAAUGGAAGGGUACAGAAAGGUCUAUGGUACAAGUCCGUCAUUUAGGGACUUUGCAACGUGACCACUAGUGUCCUGCUUGGUGGAAAGUCGGCAUUGCACAUCCAUGACUCCAUCCUCAACCCUGACAUAGAAGUCAACCCUACAGCCAAACAUUGGACCCCAGGCCUGAAGCAUCCAGGGAACCAGCAGAACACAGCCAAGGACAGCCAUGACAGUCAAAGAGCAGAGAGAGGAUGUUGUGGUGAUGGAGGAUAGCAAAGGUGUGCAAUGCUCUCACCUAUAUACUGUCCAUUGAAAUAGCCCUCACAGUCACAGUCGUCUGUAAGGGAGGCAAGCAGGGACAAGAAGAAGGGGUGGGUCAGCACAGGGUAGAAACGUUAAGGAAGGUCUAUGGAGGACUUGAAGGGGGGCAGGGCUUGGGGAGCAGCGGAACUAAGGGGAUAAUGAUGGAAAAAAACAAAUAUGGACGGAUGAGAAACCCAAACGAUUCAGCCCAAAACACGAAAGCUCAUCUACAACCAGACUUUUAGAGGUUGGAUGAGAAAAGGUACUGUUAUCUUUAACACCUGUGGCCUGACUGGACUGCAGUCCAAGCAUCUCUAUUUAAAAGGUGGGGAGGAAUUAAGCAAGAAUAGCGAAGAUGCACCCAUGCAAACAUGCUAUGGUGUGUAAUCAGCAAUCCUACUCACCCUUGUCACACGCUUGGUCAACUGCAAGACAAGCAGACAGAGUCAAAAAUGUGCUUUUUAUUUGUGUACGAGGAUGUGACGAAAAAGAAGAUUUAGAGAUGCAGGAUUAACACAGACAUAAAAGUCACUAAUGGGAAAAGCAAGGGGCCCUGCUGGGCUGGAGGGGAAUUAAGCUAGCCGGGUGGGAGAGGAGUCUCCCUGUGGGGGGGGCGACUGCCAUGUUGCUAAGCCGUAGUGCCUAAUCGGAUCGCUCGCAGCUUACACAUUGCAGAGAACCCCCCUCCCCGCCUCUAACCCUGAAUAUGGACCUACCUGUCUGCAUGCAUGCCGACAUGGAGCUUGAAAGUGACAAGCGUAUUGUUGAGGCGUGUGGAUCUACUUAAUCUGUCGCUGGACAGAUGGACUGAGCAGGGGUGAGAUUAAUUCAUAUCUGGCCCCCCUCAUCCGUCUAAAACAUGUCCACCAGCAGAAGAGAGAACAUCCCACAGCGCAAAUUAAUAAACGUUAUCCUAAUGAGUUAGCAGAGGAAGACUUUGAAGGUCAGCAAACAACAAGCAGGAACUUACAGGCUGGCGUUUUGGGGGAUUUGGGAUUCGGGAGCGUGCCUACUUUCAUCCUGUAGGCCAGUCGCCUGGUGACGUCCAAGCAGGAGGGCAAUGGGCAAGAAGGAAAGAGAAGAAGAAGAAAAGAUGGGGGUUGGUUAAUCAGGUGCCUCUUUGUCUAAGUGGUCGCAAAGAGGAUAUUGUUUAUGGUAAAUUGUUGGGGUUGUGUUCCAAAACCCCCCGCAAAAGGUGAAAAACCGCUGAAAGUAUGGAUUGACUUUUGGAUAUGCGGGGGAGCGAAUACCAAACCGCGAAUAAGCGGGGAUCUACUGUACAGUACUAUUAAAGAUACUGUUAUACUAGAUCAACAUCCUAAAGGGAAACCUUCAAGUGGCACUGUGCAUGUGGGGUCUGGUUCCUCUCACCUCUCCUGGAACUGCUUGGACGGGACCAGCCCAGCCCGCAGGUUGCUAUCGCCCACCCGCUUGGCCUGCCACCAUGUGGGGUCAUCCUGGGUGACCACCUGCAGGAUGUCGCCCCGCUUGAAGGGGAGUCCCGCCUCCUGGCAAGGAGUGGCCUUGUCCUCCAAGGGGAUGUAGUCGAACAAGGCUCUCACGUACACCUGGAGGGAUGUAACAGACAUUAAAUAUGUCACACAUUAGCAUUACAAGCAUCAUAUAUUUGAAGGGAUAGUAGCAGUGCAUUUGUGGGCUGGAGCCUUCGAGUUGGCUCACCUUGCUCUCCCUCAGUCUGUCCUCCUCUUUAACAGCAGGAAUGAUCUUGAGUGUGAUGGACCCCUGAGACUGAGACUACAGCUCAUAUUAAGAAAUGAUCUCUGCGCCGCUAUUGACCGUUGUACGUUUUGAAUGAGACUCACCAGCAGCUGACUGAUCUCGUCUGGCCUCUUGUGGAUCACCGAGACGCCGUUGACUUCUCUGAGUUCAUCUCCGACGUGGACCAAACCUGCCAGUAGGAGCAAAGAAAGUCUAUGAAAGAUUUAUUCUGAUAUCUCCUUGCUGAGGUCUCUGAGCUGCAGCCACAACAAGGAAUUCAAGAAGCUGACAACUGAUCAAUACUCUAGUCUGAUUCCCUGGACACACACACACUAUGAAUAAGGGAGCACAUGUGGCUGAUGUUUCCAUGGUAACGACUGUCAGAGAAUGCCUUCGCCGUCGUUACCAUGGUUACACAUCACUCAGGUCGCCACUGUAAAAUAAUCAUGGAAGUGGAGAAUGGAAGCACGACCUACCGCUUCUAUCCGCGGCGCCUCCUCUCAUAAUGCGAGCCACGAUCACGGCCCCGGUCACGUCGUCUCGCCUGAUGGUGGCGCCCUGGAGUCAGUGCGGGAAGAGAGGUAAAUAUAAUUGCAUACGUGUUUGCACCUCGAUGCUACCACCGCCACCGACCAGAGGUUCCUUGUUCUUCACCAGACGCACUAUUUUCACCGACUCCUCCUCCAGCUCAUCCUCAUAGUCAUCCGGCAACGGCGGCAGGACGGGAUCAAAACUCUUUUGAGCGACGGUGUCGUGUACAGACAGAAGGGCCUGACGGGAUGCGACAGACGCAGCAGCUUCAGUAUCACACCGCGCUGCUCUUCAAAGCCAGCAGAUGGAGGGACAAAAAAAAAGGGAAAACAGAAGCAGGAUGGAGGGAUAAAGGAGCGUACCAUCUGCUGGCUGACCGCUCAUCUUGUUGUUAAAACGACCAACGUGAAACCACGAGAAAGCAUCGCUUACCUUCUUGUCUCUUCUCACGACGACUGCAGCCACACUCUUCCUCCUCCUCCUCCUCCUCCUCCUCCUCCUCCUCUGGCUGCUGUGCUCACAAACCUGCUGCUGCCUCCCUUAGAAGACACCUCUCCUCCCCCCCAUUGAACCUCCCUUACACCCCUCCCGCUAUCACUGCCUCUUUCAGCCCCGCCCCUCACGUCUGCUGUGUGUGUGUGCGUGUGUGUGUGUGUGUGUGUGUGUGUGUGUGUGUCAGUAAUCAAGCUAGCAAUCCUCAACAAGAUUGACAGCAGCACAUUUUAUUCUCCCGUUGUCACCAUGGAAACGGGAAGACGGUGUCACCCUCGUGAUGUUGUCGCUCGUUAGCAGAGCGCUGACCCUAAAUAGGCACCAGUGUGACCUUUGAACUCUGCCUAUAGUCAUGCGUAUACCGAAGCGAAUCGUCUUCCAGAUCAGCAGGGUUCUUAAGAGUUUGACGUAACCGCCGCCGCAGCAGGAGUAGUAGCAUAAUAGCGACAACGCACACACUGACACGCUAAUCCAUGACUUUUUGGUGCAAUUCUGGAUAAAAAUGCACUUAAAGGAACUAACAAUCACACAAAUACAUAAAAACCUGGUGGAGGUCCACAAUGUACUGAUAUUCUAAUGAUGGAUUUGUAUAAUGUACUUAAAUAAAAUAAAAUAAUUCAUCUGAUCAAUAUUGAAGUUAUUUAGUAAUAAAAAAUACGUACUUUUAAAACCAUGAGUAAAAUAUCAGUUCAUGUAGAAAGUAUUGACACGAUUAUUAAAUUGUCAAAUUUUGAAAUGAAAUUUUAAAUCAAAUAUUGAAAUGAUGAAGUAUGAAAGUAUAUGUGCUUUUAAAAACCAUAACUAACAUAUCAAAACACAGCAGGCUUAAAAUAUCAGUUCAUGGAAGAAAAUAUUGGCGUAUUCACCUGUCCUAAUUAAAUUGUGAAAUUCCUUUUUAAAUGAUUAUAUUCAACCUGUUUAUUCUUUAUUUCCUGACCAAUUUUAUGUAUUUCAUGGUCUUUUCUUUUUUCAUUUCACGUCAUUGGAUGCAAAUAGUUCUCAUGUCGUUUGUAUUUGAAUGAUCUAUUUCAUUUUUAUUUAGGUUCGGCGCAUAAUAAAUAUUUCCAACGUUUUGUUUGGCUGUACCACCAGACCACAGACAUAUUUUUUAAAUGACCACUAAAAAUGAUUUUUUUUUUUAAAUGUAGAUGAAUAUGAUAAAUAUAUAUAUAUAUAUAUAUAUAUAUUAUACAGUAUUUACAAAUCUAUUUAUACUGUAUUAUAUAUAGGUACAAAUCCACACAGUGUGUAAGCAAUUCAUCAAAAUGUUAUGACAUACUUUUGUAAUACUUUCAUACUAGAUAAGGCUUGUAUUACAAUACUUAUGAAUAUUCUUACAGUAUGUUCGAUAUUUAUUGGAUUUGGAGAAGUUCAUUCUGAUGAUGUCAUCACCAAAACACUAAUUGGAUUGGCUGCUCCUCCCCUCCUCCUACACUGCUCUGUGCUUCCACUUGACCGAGUGGGCGCAUAUGACCCCCCCAGUGGCCGCUCCUCUUUGUACACACACACACACACACACACACACAUUGACAUGGUAAUUGUGGGUGUGUGUGAGGCGUCGUGUCCGAGGAUGCAAAGACAUGAGUUGUGCAUGAAGACGUGCUUUGUUCCUUUUUUCCACUGAAAUUCUCAGCUCUUUUCCUUUGUUUGGUAGUUGAACAAAAAACAUUUUCUCCUGCAUUAUUUAUUUAUUCAUCACUCUAUAAUGUGUAAUUACAUUUUUCUAUUUAUUUGUAUUUAUUUAUGCAAUUAUUAUUGCAUUAUUAUUAUUAUUGAAUUAUUCUUUUUUAUUAUUUAUACUAUUGACUUAUUUAUCAUUUUUCCCCCAUUUUAAUAAGCCAUCUACUAAUUGUGGCACUGUCAUUUUUCAACAGAGGAAGUGAGGAAGCUAUAAAUAAUUGCUGAGAUGUGGAGAAAGGGUUGGGAUUAAACAGGUAAGAAGCAGUCGUGCUGAGUGAAACGUUAUUUUCUCGUUGAAAGCCAUGAGAGUGAUGUCAUGUAAGAAGAGGAUGAGGAGCGAGAUGAAGGCGAGGUGAGUGAUGUGGUUACGUGAAACCAAAGGCUGCUGGGAAAUGUUUCAUAAUUGGAUGCACUUGACUGACUGCUGCAGAGCUGCAUUAGCCAAAGUCAAUUACAGCUGAUGGGGGGGGGAGACAUUGUCUGCAUCCUUACGACUCAGGUUGACGUCACUGCAAGGGUGUCCAAAGUACCGCCCGGGGGCCGUUUGCGGCACAGUUAAGGGAUUUUUUGACAUGAAGUUGUAUGACACCCCCAUCAGCAGUGUAGUCCAUUAACAACUACACACCCCCCACUUGGUCUCCUCAGUCCAGUUCUGGUCAUAUUUCUGUGAUGAACGACGUAGUUGCGCUUAGUUGCUGGAGACAAUGAAGUAAAGAGUUUAGCUUCUCAAAACAAUAUGCGUUCAAAAGAGUAAUACAUUUGCAUCACAAAAAUGCCUUAUCAAAAAAACAUCAGACAUCACAAAACACUCGGCGUUAUAUCUGUCUCCCGCCGUAUCCCUGCGCACUGUCGCCUGUGCGUUCAUGUGAAUGCGACGAAAAGGCUCGCAUCUUCUUCCGCUGUGGAACACAUACGUACACAAGAUGACCGCGGCGCUCUGUCCCGACCAUCUCUUUUUGCCUCUCGCACAAAAACGCAUAAAAGUUGUUGGGAUCGGGUGUUCGGGAUUAUAAAAACUUAUAAAUACGUCUUUGGUAUGAAAGAGUUCAUGACAAAAUUCAAGAUUCAAGAGAGUUUUAUUGUCAUGUGCAUAGUACAACAGCAGUUAUACCAUGCAAUGAAAAUCUUAUUCUGUUCAUUCUCCCAAGAACAUAAGAAACAUAAACACAUAAACAUAAAUACCAAUAAAUUAAGCAACAACAACAGAAGAGACAUUAAUACAAAUAAAUAAUACAAAUAAAUAAAUAAAGUGCUAUGAGUGUGUGCGUGUGUUGCGUGCGGCGUGUGCGAGUGCUUCGUUGAGGAGCCUGAUGGCCUAAAAUAUGCAUAUUUAAGCAAAUGUGAUGUGUUUUCUGCCUAACUGAAGCAUUUUCAAGCAUAAAAAUGGCUAAAUGAAGUAAAAUACAAAUGUAAGGCAUUCGAAAGACUCAUUCAAAGACACAUAUGUAGUAUUCCACACUGGUCACUAGGUGUCAGUAAUGUUACACGGAUGAGACAGUUGCCACUGCGGGAAGUACAGUCAACUGGAAGUAAAAAAAACAAGGAACUCUCUCAAUGCUAACGUGAGUCCAAAUUGCCUUAUUGUCUCUUGAUUAUGUCUACUAUAUUGGGUAAUAGGAGUGUAAAGGAGUGUAAAAGACUCUAGGGGUGUUCUCUCAUCUCUAGAGGGCUCUAAUAAUCUUAAAAAGUGUAUUUAGAAGAUUGUAAACAGGUUUUCUAUGCUAUAACUACAAAAAUAUUACAUUUCUAAAUGAGGAAUCUUUGUGGAAAUUCACUUAUCGUUGGUUGGAACCAAUUAAAUGGUAUAAGUGAGGGGCACUUUUAAUGUGCAUAAAGUUGUUUUUAUUUUGAUGUGAUUGUGUGUGUGUGAAUAUGAUGCUUUAUGAUGUAUAAAGUGUGUGAAUGAUGCUUUAUGAUGUAUUAAGUGUGUGUAUAUGAUGCUAUCAUGAUGGUUCUCGUCUGAAGGUUCUUCCAAGUCUGCGGUUUGUUUAGGUGGUUCGAUGCUUAUUGGAUUGCAUGACGUUCUCCGGCACCUCUGCUGGGUAUGAUGACACCUCGGGUUGCUGAGACGUGUCUGCAGCCUCGAGAUGUGAUACGGAAGACUAGAAGUAGUGGACCCACCCUCAUCACAGUCUGGAAGUAGGGGUUCUCGUGGCCUGGGACCAGAUACGAGUAGCGGGACGGGUUUUUGUCUUUGAAGGUCUUCAUGGCGUCCGGGUUGAGGUCGUACGAACCCGACUGAAAGGCACGAGUGCUGCCCGCCUCCAUCAUCUCCAUGGACGGCGGCAUCGCGUCCCAGGUGGUGGUUGCGCGGGGGAGGGGCGUGAUGUCAGAGGGCCACGGCUUGGCCAGUUCGCCCGCUGGGUAUGGACUACUGGUGCUGCUGCUGGGGUCGCCUCGGCACCGCCGCCUGGUGGACACAGCAAAGGUCACCCAAAACCAACUGGAUGUUCCUUCAUGACGAAGUGGCGAGCUGGUACAACAAGAUAUUUAAACGCAUCAGCUUUGACUUUGGAAAACGCAACCCUGCCUCCACCCACUGAGACAAAGGGGCUCACUCCGCUCAUGCCGUUGUUGAAAUCAAUGCAGAGUGAACCCUCUUCCUGCCUGUUUAGAGACGAGAGACGAGGGAGAACAGACACGCAUGCACAUGUGUGGCCCUAACACUCCUUACUAGAAGAGACGUGAAGAGGAAGAGAGCAGGUUCGCUUGUGCUUCAGCAGGCGGUCCGUCCUGGAAAAAUACUGAUGCACAAAAAGGGGGGAGGUCUAAAGAUGAACAUCCACACGAUAAGAAGCAGG